GUGACUGCUGUAGUAGCCAAGGAGCUUGAAGGAUCUGCUGGUCUCUAAUGGAGUUUCCAGACUUGGGCAAGCAUUGUUCAGAAAAAACUUGCAAACAGCUGGAUUUCCUUCCUUUAAAAUGUGAUGCAUGUGAGGAAGUUUUCUGUAAAAAUCAUAUCACAUAUGACCAACACAAAUGUACCUCUUCAUAUAAGAAGGAUGUGCAGGUUCCAGUAUGUCCUUUAUGUAACACUCCCAUCCCAGUGAGAAGAGGAGAGAUGCCAGACAUUGUAGUUGGAGCACACAUGGACAGGGACUGCAAAUAUGAUCCUACUCAGCGGAAACAGAGGAUUUUCACAAACAAGUGCUUAAAAGAAGGUUGCAAAAGGAAAGAGAUGAUGAAGCUUGUUUGUAACCAAUGCCAUGGAAACUUCUGUAUAAAACAUCGGCAUCCUCUGGAUCAUGACUGCAAAGGGGGAGGUCACUCCAUCUCCAAAGCUGGGCACAGCUACCUUCCUUGCUCCAUGCAAUAGGAUUCUAGAGCAGUUGGGUGACCAGUUCUGCACAAAUCUGGAAGUGGAUGGAUGUAUGAUUGGUGAUGGAAUAAACAGAUGUUCAGCAUGGUUCUAUUUCCUUGUAGAUAUGCAGCUAUAAUGAGAGCAUCUGAAUCCAACUUCAGGCCAACUGGAUCAAAUAAGAUAUCCUCUAACUGGUAUCUUGAGCGCAACAGAUGCUGAUGACCUGAGAGCAGUCCUAAUGGCUGGAUGAAAUUCUCAUUUAGUGUAAACUUAUUGUCUAACGUGUGUAUGCAUAUUUUUCUAUACUACAAAUAAACUAAAUUACUUAAUCUCUCAACUUCCAAUAAAGUGCUAUUCCUUUCUGUAAAGGACAGUACUGUGUUCUCUGUAUGUGGAAUCCCUCACUCCUAAUAGAACACGAAAGCAUUUUCUCCUGGUACAACUGAAGAGCAUGGAAAGUGAGGAAGAAGGAAAUAUCUGUAUACUUAUAGUAAAAGGAUACACUAAACUAGUGAACAAAACACUGUUACUACUAAUACCAUCCCCCCAAUGCACAUCUGAAAUCCAUUUGGAAACAAGCUGUAGUUAAGCAGUGUAUAGUGUGAACAUAUCACCUGAUCCAUCUGUAA
This is an RNA transcript of Mauremys reevesii (Reeves's turtle), 1126 nucleotides long. It is a transcript of the gene named zinc finger AN1-type containing 2A, with no coding region annotated. The transcript has 6 exons. The record is from RefSeq and is a predicted model, not a curated record. Lineage: Eukaryota; Metazoa; Chordata; Testudines; Geoemydidae.